RNAcentral lists this transfer RNA (69 nucleotides) under Columba livia (rock pigeon). RNAcentral describes it as "tRNA-Ala". It matches the Rfam family "tRNA". Rfam says of the family: Transfer RNA (tRNA) molecules are approximately 80 nucleotides in length. Their secondary structure includes four short double-helical elements and three loops (D, anti-codon, and T loops). Lineage: Eukaryota; Metazoa; Chordata; Aves; Columbiformes; Columbidae. The record is from RNAcentral.
AAGGUUCUAGCUUAAUUAAAGCAUCUGAGUUGUAUUCGGGGGAUGCAGGUUAGUGUCCUGCGAGUCUUA